GCAAGUCUGGUGCCAGCAGCCGCGGUAAUUCCAGCUCCAAUAGCGUAUAUUAAAGUUGUUGCAGUUAAAAAGCUCGUAGUUGAACCUCGGGAUCAAUGGAUCGGUCAUGCCAUCGGUAUGUACUGGUCUCAUUGGUUCUCACCUUCUAAGGAACCAUGAUGUCAUUCAGUUGAUGUUGUGGGGAAUUAGGACUGUUACCUUGAAAAAAUUAGAGUGUUUAAAGCAGGCUGACGCUUGAAUACAUUAGCAUGGAAUAAUGAAAUAGGGCAUCGCAUUCUAUUUUGUUGGUUUCUAGGAUCGAUGUAAUGAUUAAUAGGGAUAGUUGGGGGCAUUAGUAUUCAAUUGUCAGAGGUGAAAUUCUUGGAUUUAUUGAAGACUAACUACUGCGAAAGCAUUUGCCAAGGAUGUUUUCAUUAAUCAAGAACGAAAGUUAGGGGAUCGAAGACGAUCAGAUACCGUCGUAGUCUUAACCAUAAACUAUGCCGACUAGGGAUCGGAUGAUGUUGAUUUUUUAAUGACUCAUUCGGCGCCUUACGGGAAAC
Molecule: ribosomal RNA, 542 nt
Filed under: uncultured Glomeromycotina
Lineage: Eukaryota; Fungi; Glomeromycota
Description: SSU rRNA
Rfam family: Eukaryotic small subunit ribosomal RNA
Source: RNAcentral